GUUGCUAGCAGGUAAUGCUGAGGACUCUGGAAAGACUGCCGGCGUAAGCCGCGAGGAAGGUGGGGAUGACGUCAAAUCAUCAUGGCCUUUAUGCCUAGGGCGACACACGUGCUACAAUGGCGUGAACAGAGGGUAGCGAGACCGCGAGGUGGAGCCAAUCCCAGAAAUCACGUCCCAGUUCGGAUUGGAGUCUGCAACUCG
This 201-nucleotide ribosomal RNA is filed under the name Leptocylindrus danicus. Its description in RNAcentral is "partial Bacterial small subunit ribosomal RNA". It matches the Rfam family "Bacterial small subunit ribosomal RNA", at positions 1114 to 1314 of the family's 1533-position model. Lineage: Eukaryota; Bacillariophyta; Leptocylindrophyceae; Leptocylindrales; Leptocylindraceae. The record is from RNAcentral.